GUAGUCCACGCCCUAAACGAUGUCAACUGGUUGUUGGACGGCUUGCUGUUCAGUAACGAAGCUAACGCGUGAAGUUGACCGCCUGGGGAGUACGGCCGCAAGGUUGAAACUCAAAGGAAUUGAACGGGGACCCGCACAAGCGGUGGAUGAUGUGGUUUAAUUCGAUGCAACGCGAAAAACCUUACCUACCCUUGACAUGUCUAGGAUCCCGAAGAGAUUUGGGAGUGCUCGAAAGAGAGCUAGAACACAGGUGCUGCAUGGCCGUCGUCAGCUCGUGUCGUGAGAUGUUGGGUUAAGUCCCGCAACGAGCGCAACCCUUAUCAUUAGUUGCUACGCAAGGGCACUCUAAUGAGACUGCCGGUGACAAACCGGAGGAAGGUGGGGAUGACGUCAGGUCAUCAUGGCCCUUAUGGGUAGGGCUACACACGUCAUACAAUGGCCGGUANCAGAGGGCUGCCAACCCGCGAGGGGGAGCUAAUCUCAGAAAACCGGUCGUAGUCCGGAUCGCAGUCUGCAACUCGACUGCGUGAAGUCGGAAUCGCUAGUAAUCGCGGAUCAGCUUGCCGCGGUGAAUACGUUCCCGGGUCUUGUACACACCGCCCGUCACACCAUGGGAGCGGGUUCUGCCAGAAGUAGUUAGCCUAACCGCAAGGAGGGCGAUUACCACGGCAGGGUUCGUGANCUGGGGUGAAGUCGUAANCAAGGUAUC
Molecule: ribosomal RNA, 709 nt
Filed under: uncultured bacterium
Lineage: Bacteria
Description: bacterial SSU rRNA
Rfam family: Bacterial small subunit ribosomal RNA
Source: RNAcentral